GGGAUUGCCUCAGUAACGGCGAGUGAAGCGGCAACAGCUCAAAUUUGAAAUCUGGCCCCCUCGGGGGGCCCGAGUUGUAAUUUGCAGAUUGUGCUUUUGGCGAGGCGCCUUCCGAGUUCCCUGGAACGGGACGCCACAGAGGGUGAGAGCCCCGUCUGGUCGGCCGCCGAGCCUCUGUAAAGCACCUUCGACGAGUCGAGUAGUUUGGGAAUGCUGCUCAAAAUGGGAGGUAUAUGUCUUCUAAAGCUAAAUACCGGCCAGAGACCGAUAGCGCACAAGUAGAGUGAUCGAAAGAUGAAAAGCACCUUGAAAAGGGGGUUAAACAGUAUGUGAAAUUGUUGAAAGGGAAGCGCUCGCGACCAGACUUGGGCCCGGCGGAUCACCCAGCGUUCUCGCUGGGGCACUCCGCCUCGUCCCAGGCCAGCAUCGGUUCGUGCCGGGGGACAAAGGCGGCGGGAACGUGGCUCCCCCGGGAGUGUUAUAGCCCGCCGCGCAAUGCCCUGGGGCGGACCGAGGAUUCGCGCAUCUGCAUGGAUGCUGGCGUAAUGGUCACCAGCGACCCGUCUUGAAACACGGACCAAGGAGUCGUCUUCGUAUGCGAGUGUUCGGGUGUCAAACCCCUACGCGUAAUGAAAGUGAACGCAGGUGAGAGCUUCGGCGCAUCAUCGACCGAUCCUGAUGUUCUCGGAUGGAUUUGAGUAGGAGCAUACGGGGCCGGACCCGAAAGAAGGUGAACUAUGCCUGUGUAGGGUGAAGCCAGAGGAAACUCUGGUGGAGGCUCGCAGCGGUUCUGACGUGCAAAUCGAUCGUCAAACAUGGGCAUGGGGGCGAAAGACUA
This 838-nucleotide ribosomal RNA is filed under the name Aschersonia andropogonis. Its description in RNAcentral is "eukaryotic LSU rRNA". It matches the Rfam family "Eukaryotic large subunit ribosomal RNA", at positions 71 to 933 of the family's 3401-position model. The record is from RNAcentral. Lineage: Eukaryota; Fungi; Ascomycota; Sordariomycetes; Hypocreales; Clavicipitaceae.